This 85-nucleotide transfer RNA is filed under the name Affinirhizobium rhizoryzae. Its description in RNAcentral is "tRNA-Leu". It matches the Rfam family "tRNA". From Rfam's summary of the family: Transfer RNA (tRNA) molecules are approximately 80 nucleotides in length. Lineage: Bacteria; Pseudomonadati; Pseudomonadota; Alphaproteobacteria; Hyphomicrobiales; Rhizobiaceae. RNAcentral also lists the same sequence under 3 other names. The record is from RNAcentral.
GCGGACGUGGCGAAACUGGUAGACGCAAGAGACUUAAAAUCUCUCGGAGCAAUCUGUGCGGGUUCGAUCCCCGCCGUCCGCACCA